AGGGAAAGUCCAAAUUUUAGCAAAUAUAUUGAUGAGAAUUAUAUUAUAUGGCCAUCUAGCUGCAAGAGAAGCCAGGAACACACACAGAUUUCCACCUUCCAUGUUAGAAAUAAAGAGAAAAGACCAAUAAGGAAUAUUUGUCUCAAAGCUGAACAUUGAAACCAUCUACUUUUCACAGCCAGCAUGGAUACAGAUCCCAAAUCACAUCUUACUGUGUGUCUCAGUUUGUCUUUAUAUUAUUUCUUUGUAUUCAUUAGCAUGACCUUAUUUUUGCAAAUGGAGACAAUCAGCAGAAGUUCUGGGAAGUAAUAAAGAAUCAUAAGGGUGGAGGAGACACAAAAAAACCUGCCUCAGACUCAAAGCUAAAGCUCUAAGAAACCUUUCCCACCAGCCAGUUCCCAAAUAACCAUACAGAGGCUUUUAUUAAUUAUAAAUACUUAGGGGAUAGCUUAGGCUUGUUCCUAACUUGCUUGUAUAACUUAAAUUAACCCUUUUCUAUUAAUCUAUAUGCUGCUUACUUCAUCUAUGAACUUCCCAUGUUGCUUCUUCCUUGUCUGGCUUGAGACUCUCGUGGCUCCCUGACUCAGCCCUUUCUUUGUCCUAGAAUUUUUGUCUGGUUCUCCCACCUAACCUUACCCUUCCUAGCUAUAGGCCAGUCAUCUUUAUUAAACCACUUUAAAAUAAGGUAGGAUUUAAACCACUUUCCAUAUGGUUCUCUCAGUUCUGCAUUUUCAAGGCCUUUAUUUUCCAUUUAGAGCAGUUUUUGGACUUUAAUUCUCCUUUGAUAAACAAUCAAAUCUCUUAUCUCCCUAAAGGGACAUUACCAGGUUCAAAGUAAUGUAAGCAUCAUGGCUAGACAGAAAACAAUGGUAGUUUUCUAAGAACAGCUACACUUGGGCCUUUAGAGAGCACAUUUUUCACUUCCUUGCUGUUUUCCUUGCUUCAUUUUCAAAGCCUGCUACCUUGGCUCACACAGAGAUGGGGACUCUUCCAGUAGCAAAUGUCCAGCGCUGGAAAUGGUGGUAUAAUGGCACCCAACUGUGUGUGCGCUCUGUCCCUGUUAUGUUUUCCCCAAGUAUCUCCUACAACUACCACGCAGCUUGGGCCAAGCAAGUCUUUCUUGAGGCCUUGUUCUGGCAACGGCUGAGUAUGUGGAAAAAAGGGUUUUCCCCUGGAGUUUCACCACAGAAAUUUGGGUUGAUUUCUGACACAAGGAAAAGUUAUAACUGGUUUCACCUUGGAGUCUAGCUGGAUGAAGUUGGAAUUUCCUUUUCUUGGUCACAAAAGUCCCAAUUUCUUUAGAGUGCUGUCAAGAUGUGGAAAUGAAAAGAAAUUUUAAUGUCGACUUGAAGAUCCAGAACCAGAUCUGUGUUAUAAAUACUGAUGGGAGUUCGAAGCCAGCAUGGUCUACAGAGUGUUGCCACAGCAAGGCUAUAAUGUGUGCUGGGAAGGACUCCUUACAUUCAUGGCAUCAAGGAUCUUAUACCAGAGGCCUAAUUCAGCCUUCUGCAGCUUGUCUCCAUUCUUACCACCUUUCUGCUUCCUGCCAUAUGGAGAUGAAAACCCUCACCAGAUCCCAACACCUUGAUCUUUGACUUCCUGCUUUCCAGAACUGUGAGAAAAUGAUAGUCUGCAUUGCCCAGCCUUCUUAGUCUCAGCCCCGGUUCCUGUCCAGCCCCCAAGAGCAAAUGUGCAGCCGAUAGCAACAUUGGAAGCUCUGUCUUGCUAAGAACAUUAUAGAAUGGAAUGUUAGCCACUGUGGGAUGUGUUUGGAAUCAAUGAUGCUCCACCGAGGAACACUGCUCUGCUGCCCAGCUCCUGAGCAAUAUUUGCAAAUACUAUGCAAAUUUGUGCAUACUGCUGGAGCCACAGAUUGGAACAUGAAAAACAAGAAAAUGGAUGACACUUCCAUCAUGCCAAAGCCUGUUCCAUCCGAGCUGAGUCAGGGAGGACGAAGCAGGGAAACUGCCAUUCUUUUUCCUGUACUUCCUCUCCAAUCUCCCUGCGGUUU
RNAcentral lists this long non-coding RNA (2011 nucleotides) under Cricetulus griseus (Chinese hamster). Its description in RNAcentral is "lncRNA (ENSCGRG00015041269.1)". The record is from RNAcentral. Lineage: Eukaryota; Metazoa; Chordata; Mammalia; Rodentia; Cricetidae.